CCCUACCCUUUAGUUGCCAUCAGGUAAUGCUGGGGACGUCUAAAGGAACUGCCUACGCAAGUAGUGAGGAAGGCGGGGAGUGACGUCAAAUCAGCACGGCCCUUACGUCCAGGGCUACACACGUGCUACAAUGGCCGAUACAGAGGGCAGCUACCUGGUGACAGGAUGCAAAUCUCCAAAGUCGGUCUCAGUUCGGAUCGGAGUCUGCAACCCGACUCCGUGAAGUUGGAUUCGCUAGUAAUCGCGCAUCAGCCAUGGCGCGGUGAAUACGUUCCCGGGCCUU
This 283-nucleotide ribosomal RNA is filed under the name uncultured Sphingobacteriales bacterium. Its description in RNAcentral is "partial 16S ribosomal RNA". It matches the Rfam family "Bacterial small subunit ribosomal RNA", at positions 1098 to 1382 of the family's 1533-position model. The record is from RNAcentral. Lineage: Bacteria; Pseudomonadati; Bacteroidota; Sphingobacteriia; Sphingobacteriales.